This 676-nucleotide ribosomal RNA is filed under the name Bifidobacterium pseudolongum. Its description in RNAcentral is "bacterial SSU rRNA". It matches the Rfam family "Bacterial small subunit ribosomal RNA", at positions 63 to 739 of the family's 1533-position model. The record is from RNAcentral. Lineage: Bacteria; Bacillati; Actinomycetota; Actinomycetes; Bifidobacteriales; Bifidobacteriaceae.
CGGGAUCCUUGGCAGCUUGCUGCCGGGGUGAGAGUGGCGAACGGGUGAGUAAUGCGUGACCGACCUGCCCCAUGCACCGGAAUAGCUCCUGGAAACGGGUGGUAAUGCCGGAUGUUCCACAUGAGCGCAUGCGAGUGUGGGAAAGGCUUUUUGCGGCAUGGGAUGGGGUCGCGUCCUAUCAGCUUGUUGGUGGGGUAACGGCCUACCAAGGCGUUGACGGGUAGCCGGCCUGAGAGGGCGACCGGCCACAUUGGGACUGAGAUACGGCCCAGACUCCUACGGGAGGCAGCAGUGGGGAAUAUUGCACAAUGGGCGCAAGCCUGAUGCAGCGACGCCGCGUGCGGGAUGGAGGCCUUCGGGUUGUAAACCGCUUUUGUUCAAGGGCAAGGCACGGUUUCGGCCGUGUUGAGUGGAUUGUUCGAAUAAGCACCGGCUAACUACGUGCCAGCAGCCGCGGUAAUACGUAGGGUGCAAGCGUUAUCCGGAUUUAUUGGGCGUAAAGGGCUCGUAGGCGGUUCGUCGCGUCCGGUGUGAAAGUCCAUCGCUUAACGGUGGAUCCGCGCCGGGUACGGGCGGGCUUGAGUGCGGUAGGGGAGACUGGAAUUCCCGGUGUAACGGUGGAAUGUGUAGAUAUCGGGAAGAACACCAAUGGCGAAGGCAGGUCUCUGGGCCGUUA